Non-coding RNA from Otolemur garnettii (small-eared galago), 102 nucleotides. The record is from Rfam. Lineage: Eukaryota; Metazoa; Chordata; Mammalia; Primates; Galagidae.
UAUAAAUGUUCAUAAAAUCAGGAAUGAAGUGCAAUACAGAGAAGAUUAGCAUGGCCCCAGUGAAAGAACGACAUGCAAAUUUGUGAUGUGUUCCAUAUUUAA